Panicum virgatum (switchgrass) is the source of this 1378-nucleotide long non-coding RNA. RefSeq lists it as uncharacterized. NCBI's taxonomy places the organism in Eukaryota, Viridiplantae, Streptophyta, Magnoliopsida, Poales, Poaceae. The record is from RefSeq and is a predicted model, not a curated record. The transcript is spliced from 2 exons.
AGAACCGAACUCCCAUUCUUGAGUUCUUCCUUCCCGUUCCCAAUUCUUCCAUGAUUUCUAGCGUAUUCCCUCUGAUCUCUUCUCCAGAUACUCGAGAUCGUAACAAUUGGUAUUCAGAGCCUUUUCCACCAAAAUUUUUCCCCAAUUCGUGAAUCCUUCAACCUAGCGCCAUCGUGGAGGUCGACCAAAUUUGAAGCUUUGAUGACGAAUUCCCUGGAAGAUCUAGCGAAGAAGUUAGACAGGUUUGACGUGGCGUUGACAAGCGUGCUGGACAAGCUCUCUGGGCUCGAAGCCUGGAAGUCCACCGCUAACGCGUCGAUGGACAAGCUCCUCGCCCAAUCGGAGCAGACUGCGUCACGCGUUCGCCGCCUGGAGUCCCCACCUCCACCUCCGCCACCUCCCAUGCCUCCACGGCCGGCAACAGCGCCGCCACAGCCGCAACCGCACGAGUCAACCCAUUCGACCUCAACACGGCUCCCCUACAGGAGGCGCACCCAUCUGCACCGUCCUGGGAGCGGCCCAGCAGGCACUGCGUCAUCAAUCACCACCGGGAUGCUAGCGGUGGGAUUCUGGGAUCCCAUCCGCCACACCCGGUCACGGGAAGGUGAUAUGGUUUACCUGAAGUUGCAACCACAUGUGCAGUCCUCAGUGGCUUCUCGAGGUAACCACAAACUUGCCUUUAAGUUCUUUGGCCCCUAUAAGAUUUUGCAGAAGGUGGUACAGUAGCAUACAAGCUGGAUCUCCAAGAUCAUGCACAGAACCACCCAGUGGUGCAUGUGUCCAACUCAAGCGGUGUGUUCCUUCCAACACUGAAGUUGCUCAAGACCUUUCUGUGGUCUGCUCUGAUCCUGCACAAGAAUUCCACCCACUACACAUAUUGGACCGCGCUCUGGUCGCCAAGGGAACGGCUUCAGCAUUUCGAGUGAAGGUACAGUGGUCUGGUCUGCCUUUAGCUUUCGCCACUUGGGAAGAUGAGGAUGAUCUCUGUCGCCGAUUUCCUUCAGCAGCUUGGGGACAAGCUGCAGCUUAAGGAGGAGGGAAUGUUAUGACCAGCAGGUGUAUUACUGAGCAUGUACAAGCAUAGGCUGUGUUGGGCUGCGCCCUGGGCCAGUCACGGGAUGUUAUCGGGCCAAGGCCCAUGUAAGCCGUCGGGCGUCAUCAGAACUCGGCAGCUCGUAUAUAGCUGGCCGCUGCAACUCUAACUGUCAUGAACGGAAUAGAACAGAGAACCGAACUCCCAUUCCUGAGUUCUUCCUUCCCUUUCCCAAUUCUUCCAUGAUUUCUAGCCUAUUCGCUCUGAUCUCUUCUCCAGAUACUCGAGACCGUAACAAACUGGUACAUAAAUAAAGUAUAUUGCCCAAUAGUUAUGUUUCUUGUA